UAGGGAAUCUUCGGCAAUGGGGGGAACCCUGACCGAGCAACGCCGCGUGAGUGAAGAAGGUUUUCGGAUCGUAAAGCUCUGUUGUUAAGGAAGAACGAGUGUGAGAAUGGAAAGUUCAUACUGUGACGGUACUUAACCAGAAAGGGACGGCUAACUACGUGCCAGCAGCCGCGGUAAUACGUAGGUCCCGAGCGUUGUCCGGAUUUAUUGGGCGUAAAGCGAGCGCAGGCGGUUAGAUAAGUCUGAAGUUAAAGGCAGUGGCUCAACCAUUGUAGGCUUUGGAAACUGUUUAACUUGAGUGCAGAAGGGGAGAGUGGAAUUCCAUGUGUAGCGGUGAAGUGCGUAGAUAUAUGAAGGAACACCGGUGGCGAAAGCGGCUCUCUGGUCUGUAACUGACGCUGAGGCUCGAAAGCGUGGGGAGCGAACAGG
RNAcentral lists this ribosomal RNA (429 nucleotides) under Bacteroidota bacterium. RNAcentral describes it as "Bacteroidetes bacterium partial 16S ribosomal RNA". It matches the Rfam family "Bacterial small subunit ribosomal RNA", at positions 355 to 776 of the family's 1533-position model. Lineage: Bacteria; Pseudomonadati; Bacteroidota. The record is from RNAcentral.